RNAcentral lists this ribosomal RNA (429 nucleotides) under Actinomycetes bacterium. RNAcentral's name for it is "Actinobacteria bacterium partial 16S ribosomal RNA". It matches the Rfam family "Bacterial small subunit ribosomal RNA", at positions 355 to 776 of the family's 1533-position model. Lineage: Bacteria; Bacillati; Actinomycetota; Actinomycetes. The record is from RNAcentral.
UAGGGAAUCUUCCGCAAUGGGCGAAAGCCUGACGGAGCAACGCCGCGUGAGUGAUGAAGGUCUUCGGAUCGUAAAACUCUGUUAUUAGGGAAGAACAAAUGUGUAAGUAACUAUGCACGUCUUGACGGUACCUAAUCAGAAAGCCACGGCUAACUACGUGCCAGCAGCCGCGGUAAUACGUAGGUGGCAAGCGUUAUCCGGAAUUAUUGGGCGUAAAGCGCGCGUAGGCGGUUUUUUAAGUCUGAUGUGAAAGCCCACGGCUCAACCGUGGAGGGUCAUUGGAAACUGGAAAACUUGAGUGCAGAAGAGGAAAGUGGAAUUCCAUGUGUAGCGGUGAAAUGCGCAGAGAUAUGGAGGAACACCAGUGGCGAAGGCGACUUUCUAGUCUGUAACUGACGCUGAUGUGCGAAAGCGUGGGGAUCAAACAGG